This 1111-nucleotide unclassified non-coding RNA is filed under the name Hevea brasiliensis (rubber tree). Lineage: Eukaryota; Viridiplantae; Streptophyta; Magnoliopsida; Malpighiales; Euphorbiaceae. The record is from RNAcentral.
CAUCAGAAUGAAAUGAUAUCAAAACAAAUCAUUCCCUCGAGAGAAAAAAAGAUAUCAAAACUAAUUGUCAUGUGAUAAUACAAAAUUUCAUGGUUAAAUACAUCUUCAGGCACGUGUACUAUCGCAUUUUUGCUUAACCACACCUGAACUAAUAUUUUUACUUUUCACACACGUAAACAUAAAAAAAAAAAAAUUGUAACACUUAAAACCCAAUUUUGCACAGCUAGCAUUACGAGUAUUUUCACGCAAGGAGAGAUGAUUGAUGAGGCCUUCUGAUGAUGACAUGGGACAUGUAAUUGCUAGUUAGCUUUGUGAAUAAAAGCGUCUGGUCAUUCUCAUGGGUUGGAGAUCAAGGCUUCGCUUUUACCUUUAGAUGAAUCAUCUUCAUAAUUCUUAUAAUUUUUUCGUUGGAUUCCACUUCAUUGGUGUGUGAUAUUACACCUGUAACAAUCUAGUCACAUUCAUCUUUUGAUUUGUCCUUUAAUUUUGCAAGAUUGAUAGGAACCCUUUUAAAUUGGGUAUUUUGUGAAAAAUAGAGUCAAGCCAAAUUAACUUUGUGUAUUCGGUGUGCCGUUGUGGAGAAACAACAACGUUGAAAGUUUCUUGGACAAGAAUGAAUCUUAGUAGAAAAGUUCUUUGGUUGCAGGCAUUAUGAGGUGAGUAAUUUUUUAUAAUGGUUGUAUUGUGAUUUUGUAAUAUUUGUUUUGUGUUUUAAUUUUACAAUUGUUGUGUGUUUAUAUGAUUUUUGUGAAAUGAAGAUUUCUGUGAUUUGUGGUUAUUUCUUCUGGUUUGAACCCUUGUGCCUGAGUAUUUGAAGAAUGUAACUAUUGAUUUGUUGUCAAGGCUAAAUGAGCAUGAAAUUGAAAAAAAGAGAGGAGGCUUGAUUGGAAGCACAUUUUGUGGAAGAAUUUUACUUGUAAAAGCAGCAAUUUUGUUGGUUUUGGUAGCUUGGUCGUUGUGCUUUACUUGACUGUGGUUUUUGUAGUAGAUUUUUGUUAGUUUUUGUAGCUUGGUUGCUAUUAAAUCUGACUGUGCUUUUUGUAGAAAAUUUUGGUUUUGUAUACCUUGUAAUUAUUAGGAUAUAUUUUGAUAGGGAUUGUAAAUGUUAGUU